RNAcentral lists this long non-coding RNA (1111 nucleotides) under Lathyrus oleraceus (garden pea). RNAcentral's name for it is "Pisum sativum (pea) long non-coding RNA (PSAT_LNC036132)". Lineage: Eukaryota; Viridiplantae; Streptophyta; Magnoliopsida; Fabales; Fabaceae. The record is from RNAcentral.
AGAAAUUCUAUCACUAGUAGUUUCACGAGGUUAAGAUUUAGAGUUCAAAGUAAGAACUAUUUUUCUGGGAAUUGAGUUUCCUUUCAUGAUUCAUUGCAAGACAGAAAUAAUACUGAUCCUAUUUUUUUUCUGUGACAUUUUUGUUUUUGGAUUGAGCUAGGGUAACUUUUCAUUAUGAUUUCAGCCACGAGAUCAAAGGUUUAUCCAAGCAAAUGGGGUACUUACUGUUACUGUCACUGUUGCUGCUGAUUGGAUUGGAAAAUACACAUAAGUGUUGGUUAGAUAUUGAAUUGGUUUCACUGUAGUACUUCUCUCUCUUUCUUUCUUUUUCUAAUCAUAUUCAAGUUUGUUUCAAAUUGCAUAAAAAUUAGAAGUGAGUGAUGUGAGUGGACAAGUACCUUCCUAGUUUCGUCAGAAUAAAAGGUACUGCUGCCACCCCUACUGCUGGCAAUAAAACAUAAACUAAUUGUAUUUGAAAAGUAAUAUCCAUAUAUAUGAUAAAAUUAGUGGAAUAAUACCAAGUUUGCAUAGUGAUCAGCACUUGAUAUAGUUUGAGUUUGGCACCUAUCCAAUAUUUUUCCAAAUAACCUUGGCUGAACUAGAUAGAGUUGUCUACUCAGAACUUCUGUAUGAUAGCAUCAUCAUCAUCUAGCUAGAAUUUAUCUCUACAUUCAAUAAGCUGAAAACCAAACCUAUCCAAUAUUUUUCCAAAUAACCUUGGCUGAACUAGAUAGAGUUGUCUACUCAGAACUUCUGUAUGAUAGCAUCAUCAUCAUCUAGCUAGAAUUUAUCUCUACAUUCAAUAAGCUGAAAACCAAUCAUGCAUAUCAGCCAAAGAAUGAGUUUGCAUUCAUAUUAUUCUAAUCACAUAGCAGCCAUUUGCUAAAUCUUCAAUAUUUCAAUACAAUGCAGCCAAGACAUUUGUUGACUAAAAGAUGUAUCCACCAUUCGACACGCUGCAGGAUCAAUCAUCGGUGCCAAAGUAGCGAUCACCAAAUUCACCCAAUCCUGGGAUAACACGGAACUCUUCAUUUAAUGCAACAUCAAUCUCAGAUGUGACAAUUUUCAACGAUGGGAACCUUUUACACACACAGUGGAUUCCCUCAGGAGC